GGCGAGGCGCAUCCUAACAUGCAGNUCGAACGAAUUACCUUCGGGCUAGUUAGUGGCGCACGUGGUGCAUAACGCGAUGGGAAUCUGCCCCUUGGUUCGAAAUAGCAGCAAGAAAUUGCUGCUAAUACCGGAUGAUGACGUAAGUCCAAAGAUUUAUCGCCGAGGGAUGAGCCCACGUAUGAUUAGGUGGUUGGUGUGAUAAAGGCUCACCAAGCCGACGAUCCUUAGCUGGUCUGAAAGGAUGAUCAGCCACUCUGGGACUGAGACACGGCCCACACUCCUACGGGAGGCAGCAGUGGGAAAUAUUGGACAAUGGGCGAAAGCCUGAUCCAGCCAUGCCGCGUGAGUGAUGAAGGCCUUAGGGUUGUAAAGCUCUUUUACCCUGGAUGAUAAUGACGCUACCGGGAGAAUAAACUCCGGCUAAUUCCGUGCCAGCAGCCGCGGAAAUACGGAGGGAGCUAGCGUUAUUCUGAAUUACUGGACGUAAAGCGCACGUAGGCGGCUUUGUAAGUAAUAGGUGAAAGCCCAGAGCUCAACUCUGGAAUUGCCUUUUAGACUGCAUCGCUUGAAUCAUGGCGGAGGUCAGUGUGAAUUCCUGAGUGUAGUAGAGUGAAAUUCAUAGAUAUUCGAAAGAACACCUGUGACGAAGGCGGCUGACUGGACAUGUAUUGACACUGAGGUGACAAAGCGUGGGGAGCAAACAGGAUUAGACUGCCUGGUAGUCCACGCCGUAAACGAUGAUAACUAGCUGUUCGGGCACUUGGUGCUUGACUGGCGCACCUAACACAUUAAGUUAUCCGCCUGGAGAGUACGGCCGCAAGGUUAAAACUCAAAUGAAUUGACAGCGGCCUG
Molecule: ribosomal RNA, 852 nt
Filed under: bacterium 10M
Lineage: Bacteria
Description: bacterial SSU rRNA
Rfam family: Bacterial small subunit ribosomal RNA
Source: RNAcentral